This 1332-nucleotide long non-coding RNA is filed under the name Fragaria vesca (wild strawberry). RNAcentral describes it as "long non-coding RNA (FVES_LNC004366)". The record is from RNAcentral. Lineage: Eukaryota; Viridiplantae; Streptophyta; Magnoliopsida; Rosales; Rosaceae.
GGAACGGCGCUCGGCGCUCAUCCUACAACAGAUCCCGCCUAUAGUUAUAGUGUCGAACACACAUAAGUAUAGGUUUUGUUGUCCUUACGACGGUUGUCAAAGACCGGAUCUUUGCACUUCGCGACCCUAUCCGAGUAUGUGCUUAGUGCAACGCCUCAUAGAACAAUGAAGUAAUGUAUCUAUACGCCCAAAAAGAAACUUGUUCAUUUAUGUUACCUGUUGUGGACCUUCAAUGUUUCACCUUUCAUAGAUCUGGGAAAGGCGGUUUUGGUUUGGGAAGUGACGUUGAGGCUGGGCACGUGCGAUAAGUAAUAAAGAAAGCAAAGGGAAAUCAGAGGGCCUGGAAAACAAACAGUAGAGUGACGCGAAGGACCUCUAGCAACUCUACAACCGCCCUUCCUACCAAAAAGCUAACCGAAAUCACAUAAGGUCUGGAAAGGGCUGUAAAGAAUAUAAUUCCUUCCUCCCUUUCUUCCCCUGUUCCGGAGAUAGAUAUAGCCCUCUCGAAACCUAGCUGUUAGAGUUUGAUUUUUUGGGGGGGUAAGUAAUAAACUGAAUCCCCGAAUGGGUACUUGAACCCUUCUCCUCCAAGGUAUAGAACAACUAAGGGUACUGGUCCUGCUCGCUUUGGUUCCAUCUGUCCACAUUCUUCCCUUCGGCUUGAUUACGAACGAAGAAAGAGACUUAAGGAGGGGCGCUAACCAUGUGUUACAGGCCGCAGAAGUGAAAUGCCAUUAUUAUCAAUGAUUAUUGAGUUGAUCCCCCGUUCCCAUCUUUCAAAGAAUAAAAAGUGUGACCCCGGCAAUCUCUCGCACUUGAAAAAUAGAUGCCGUAUAGCCGAUGGAGAAAUUCACUAUGAAAUUGAAUAGUUGAUUCAUUCAAUCAGGACCGCGAAAUAAUAUCAUAGUAGAUUUUUUCUAUGCCCUUCCUUUAAUGAAAAGCAGCUGAUUGGUAAUUAAUGUGCGCUCCUGUGGCCCAACACAUAGGCUUUUUCCUUGUUCUACCGAGAUGAACUAAAGAGCUCUAAAGCAUUGGCUUACUUAUUCGAUUAUUAACCGCAAAGCUUUCCACGAGGAGCCCAAAAAAGUCACACUAAUUUCAGAAUUAAGGGUAUACGAAACCGUGUUUUACAUGGCUGAGUGGAGGGUAACUCUGCGGACCCUACGGAGCCUCCAAAAAGGGACUGGAACCGCUCUACAGAUAUCUCUUUCGGAACGAGCCUUAACCGACGCUGCUGCUGCUACUGGUCUUGACACCAAAAAUGCUGUCGAUAGAGUUAAGUUAAAGCAAGCAUGCCGGCCGUAGAAAGAGCGUAAAAGCACACUCCCCUUG